AACGCGAAGAACCUUACCUACCCUUGACAUGUACGGAAGCCACGAGAGGUCGAGGCGUGCUCGAAAGAGAGCCGUAACACAGGUGCUGCAUGGCUGUCGUCAGCUCGUGUCGUGAGAUGUUGGGUUAAGUCCCGCAACGAGCGCAAUCCUUGUCAUUAGUUGCUACGAAAGAGCACUCUAAUGAGACUGCCGGUGACAAACCGGAGGAAGGUGGGGAUGACGUCAAGUCCUCAUGGCCCUUAUGGGUAGGGCUUCACACGUCAUACAAUGGUCGGUACAGAGGGCUGCCAACCCGCGAGGUGGAGCCAAUCCCAGAAAGCGCGUCGUAGUCCGGAUCGCAGUCUGCAACUCGACUGCGUGAAGUCGGAAUCGCUAGUAAUCGCGGAUCAGCAUGUCGCGGUGAAUACGUUCCCGGGUCUUGUACACACGC
This 430-nucleotide ribosomal RNA is filed under the name uncultured bacterium. RNAcentral describes it as "bacterial SSU rRNA". It matches the Rfam family "Bacterial small subunit ribosomal RNA", at positions 958 to 1393 of the family's 1533-position model. The record is from RNAcentral.